GAUGAACGCUGGCGGCGUGCCUAAUACAUGCAAGUCGAGCGAACAGACGAGGAGCUUGCUCCUCUGACGUUAGCGGCGGACGGGUGAGUAACACGUGGAUAACCUACCUAUAAGACUGGGAUAACUUCGGGAAACCGGAGCUAAUACCGGAUAAUAUAUUGAACCGCAUGGUUCAAUAGUGAAAGACGGUUUUGCUGUCACUUAUAGAUGGAUCCGCGCCGCAUUAGCUAGUUGGUAAGGUAACGGCUUACCAAGGCAACGAUGCGUAGCCGACCUGAGAGGGGGGUCGGCCCACCCGGAACUGGGAACCGGUCCAAACCCCUACGGGAGGCCGCAGUAGGGAAAUUUCCGGAAAGGGGGAAAGCUUGACGGGGCAACGCCGGGGGGGGGAUGAAGGUUUUCGGGUCGUAAAACCCUUUUUUUAGGGAAAAAAAAAUGGUUAAGUAACUAUGCCAGUUUUGACGGUACCUAAUCAAAAAGCCCCGGCUAACUUCCG
RNAcentral lists this ribosomal RNA (496 nucleotides) under uncultured bacterium. RNAcentral describes it as "partial 16S ribosomal RNA". It matches the Rfam family "Bacterial small subunit ribosomal RNA", at positions 28 to 506 of the family's 1533-position model. The record is from RNAcentral.